GCGGAAGGCCAGGGCUAUGCGGUCUGAGAUCUACAAGGGAAGGAGGGCGUCUUUUGUGGAGGAUAGCUUACAAAAGGAUGAGAUACAGUCCUUGCAUUGCCUUCAGCCUCUGUGGAAACCCAAGGCCCUGAGAGUGUGAAAAAAUCUGUGGAAGCUAACUGAGGGCUUUGCAAGUGUAUCUGAAUGGUGGAUCAACUGAGUGUAGGCUCAGAUCAGGACUUCAAAUGCGUGCAGUCACAGCCUUCCCACAGACGGUGAGAGAAGUACUGCAGAAACAUCUCUGCUUCUCCACUAGGACUGAUACAGCAGCAAGUACAGAUUUGGACACUGAAUCAUGCUUUGGUGUCCUGUCACUGUGCAUCGCUGUGAUCGCACGGUGCCUAAUGGUGCAUGGUCUGAGUGCAACAUCACUGUUCCAAAACAGAUCAACUACUAAACUGAUAGGCAGUAUAAU
This 454-nucleotide long non-coding RNA is filed under the name Falco tinnunculus (common kestrel). Its description in RNAcentral is "lncRNA (ENSFTIG00000015090.1)". Lineage: Eukaryota; Metazoa; Chordata; Aves; Falconiformes; Falconidae. The record is from RNAcentral.